Molecule: ribosomal RNA, 450 nt
Filed under: uncultured bacterium
Lineage: Bacteria
Description: bacterial SSU rRNA
Rfam family: Bacterial small subunit ribosomal RNA
Source: RNAcentral
CCUACGGGCGGCUGCAGUAGGGAAUAUUGCGCAAUGGACGGAAGUCUGACGCAGCGACGCCGCGUGAGCGAUGAAGGUCUUCGGAUCGUAAAGCUCUGUCCUUGGGGAAGAAGGCGAAAGCUUGACGGUACCUUACCAGCAAGCCCCGGCUAACUACGUGCCAGCAGCCGCGGUAAGACGUAGGGGGCGAGCGUUGUCCGGAAUUACUGGGCGUAAAGAGCACGUAGGCGGAUGUAUAAGUCAGGUGUGAAAGACCGCAGCCUAACUGCGGGGUUGCACUUGAAACUGUAUAUCUUGAGGGCAGGAGAGGUUAGUAGAAUUCCUGGUGUAGCGGUGAAAUGCGUAGAAAUCAGGAGGAAUACCAGUGGCGAAGGCGACUGACUGGACUGACCCUGACGCUGAGGUGCGAAAGCGUGGGUAGCAAACAGGAUUAGAUACCCCUGUAGUCAC